UAGAGAGGGAGGAGAGCGGGUUGCACGGCAUCCAAAAAAAAUUUGCUUGCGAUUUGGUUGGCCAAGUACUAUUUCCAAUAUUUGCUCCUCUUUUUGUGCAACAACCUUGGUAUGAGAGAUUCAAAACUUAGGCCCUGUAUAAAUGGAAGGAGGGAGUACUAUGCUUUGUGAUUCUUUUUACUUGAGCUUACAGUCCUUAAUGCUGCUGCAACCAAGAUAUAUUCUGCCCAUUAUAAUCCUUAUAAGCACUUAGACUUAUUGAUCAUUUGAUGAUAUUCUAGUUGCUAAUCUUAGAAAAAAAAAGAAGUAUUUGUUUCUUACCUUGCUUAAUUGAUGUCUCUAGUAUCAUACAGAUAAAACAAAGCAGCAGCAUAUUAUUGAUUGAAAUAUUCUUAUAAACUCACUUUGGAAAUGCUACUGCCUAUUUCCCCAUAAUAUAGAUUUAUUCCUUGUACAUUAAUAACUAUCUCCUAUAUUUCUGGUCAUUCACCUCGGCAUUCAUUUCUUACUUCCUUCAUGAUUGAUUGCAGAUUAGCAUCUUCAUACUGCAGUGCUCCUUUGUACAUAAAAAAAACUUACAGUUCUUCUUAAUUUAAGGUGAAUGCUCCCAACAAUUAGGCCCAGUAGUAUGUCGUCUCUUGAAGUGAAAUCACAUGGGUACUUGGUUAAAUUAUUUAAAAAGGUUUGUGCAAUUCUGCACAUUUCUGAACUGAAGCAUUUGAGCCAAACUGUACAUUCAACUUUUGACCAUAUAACUUCUACUAGUUACCGAAAAUUUAUAUGAUUGUAUUGUAUUGCAUCUAACAACAGCAGUUCAUCAUUCAUCUAUUUAGCAGGCUUUAAUCUACAUUAUGGGGUCUUAUUUUGUGUCAGACUGCUGGUUUGGAGUGCAAGGACGGCGACUAAACUUCACUUCUGUUUGUCCAGGUCACUUGCUUAGCCGUCAUUUGGGUUUUUGACGACAUGUAUGUCUGCCACAUGAAACCUGUUGAUUCGGCAUGUUUAGGUCCUAGAUGGUUUAUAUACCUUAUUAAAAGCUGCUAUAAGUCAUGUCUUCUGUGUAUGUAGUUGUCCUGCUAUUGGCUAAGCUUUUCCUAGAACCAUCAGCUAAUGUUUGAGCGUACAUGGAAUUCUAGCGCUGCUAUUGCAUUAAUUUUCAACAUUGCUGCAGUGUUGCGUCAAAGUGUUCAUCAGAGAUUGGUAUGUUUCAGAACAUCACUGUGUUUGCUGCUCUUUUUGUGCUCCCUGGUAUAUAUUCUUUUUGCAAGCAAGAGCUCCCUGACAUGUCAUUUACAUUUGUUAUUGUCUAUCAUGUGUUGAUCACAUUUCAUUUCUGGGGUUGACUCAUUUUUUAUACAUCUGAUCAGCUCAUUUCUGCUCUUUUACUGCCACAUGUGUGGUGUAUUCUUUUCCAACAUAGAAUGGUUUUG
Molecule: long non-coding RNA, 1430 nt
Filed under: Triticum aestivum (bread wheat)
Lineage: Eukaryota; Viridiplantae; Streptophyta; Magnoliopsida; Poales; Poaceae
Description: long non-coding RNA (TAES_LNC006598)
Source: RNAcentral